Odocoileus virginianus texanus is the source of this 724-nucleotide non-coding RNA. Lineage: Eukaryota; Metazoa; Chordata; Mammalia; Artiodactyla; Cervidae. The record is from RefSeq and is a predicted model, not a curated record.
CUUUCCUUGCUAUUUUGUGAUUCAAAAUUGUGUGAGGAGGGAAGACUGAAAAGAGGAGAGGCUCUUUUGUCUAUGGGGCAGGAGUUUUAAGUUAAUAUGGAAUUCGGUGGAGAAAGGGAAUCUACAUCUGUGGAGAGCGUUUGUAUGAGUAAUCCGGUAAUCUCCCAGUGAUGAGUAGAGCAUGUACUCGCCACUAAUGCUGGGUGCGAUUAGAUGCAACUGCCUCAGCCUCAGGUGCCCAGCAGGAAGCCGUAAUUGACCACACGGAUCUGAGUGGGUCAGCACAGUCACUUACAGGCUGGUCACCUUUCCUGUCCAUCUUCCUCAUGGAACCUGCUGCACUGAUUUACGGCUCAGCUCUUCUCUGACCAAUGACUGAUACACUGGACUGGACAUUCCUAUGUCCAAUUCUGUUCCUAACCCAGAUGAUUGCUGAGGAAAACAAUGAUGGAAUCUUUUCAGAAAUACGCACUGAUCUGUAGGAAGACAGUCUUGGAAGCAAUUUGUUCAAGAACAGAGAUUGUGGUCUGUGCAGAAAAAUAUACCAAGACCUCUUUCCAGGGUAAAUUAGGAGGAUAUGUGGGUCUAAUCCUGCACAUCUAAUGGAUAAAAAGCUUUCUUUUACUUCAGGGCCUGAGGCUGUUUACAAAUAAACACAGACCAAGGUGAUAUUCUGCCCAAGAUAGCACUAUAAGGGGAACUACAGAGUCUUUUGGUUAAUGAC